RNAcentral lists this ribosomal RNA (433 nucleotides) under uncultured bacterium. Its description in RNAcentral is "partial 16S ribosomal RNA". It matches the Rfam family "Bacterial small subunit ribosomal RNA", at positions 29 to 507 of the family's 1533-position model. The record is from RNAcentral.
AGCGAACGCUGGCGGCAGGCCUAACACAUGCAAGUCGAACGGAUCCUUCGGGAUUAGUGGCGGACGGGUGAGUAACACGUGGGAACGUGCCCUUUGGUUCGGAACAACUCAGGGAAACUUGAGCCAAUACCGGAUGUGCCCUUCGGGGGAAAGAUUUAUCGCCAUUGGAGCGGCCCGCGUCUGAUUAGCUAGUUGGUGAGGUAACGGCCCACCAAGGCGACGAUCAGUAGCUGGUCUGAGAGGAUGAUCAGCCACACUGGGACUGAGACACGGCCCAGACUCCUACGGGAGGCAGCAGUGGGGAAUCUUGCGCAAUGGGCGAAAGCCUGGCGCAGCCAUGCCGCGUGAAUGAUGAAGGUCUUAGGAUUGUAAAAUUCUUUCAGCGGGGACGAUAAUGACGGUACCCGCAGAAGAAGCUCCGGCUAACUUCGUG